AAAACCAAGAGAUAAAGCACAUUUGAAGUAUAACGAUAAAAGUCGCGGAAACAGUUCCUAAUAGAGUGGAACCAUUUAAAGUAAAAACACAAUACCCAAAAUGAGCUUAUUGAGGCGAUUUCUUUUAAACCCAAGAAGUACUUGAAGAAGCAAGCACUUCCCUUAAGCAGAAGAACUCUCGACAAGUUUCAACUCUCCGGUGGUAGUCUGAACGAGAUCGUAGAUACGGAACUCGCAAUUCUUAAAAGAGAGCUGGGGAGGUAAGAAAUCAAUGUCAGCGGCCUUAACCAUUUUCUUCAAAAGGAAUCUGAUGAAGGCACUAUGUGUGAUUACAGCGAUUUGCUGCUGAG
Non-coding RNA from Schizosaccharomyces pombe (fission yeast), 350 nucleotides. NCBI's taxonomy places the organism in Eukaryota, Fungi, Ascomycota, Schizosaccharomycetes, Schizosaccharomycetales, Schizosaccharomycetaceae. The record is from the annotation of a GenBank genome assembly.